Molecule: small nucleolar RNA, 206 nt
Filed under: Sorex araneus (European shrew)
Lineage: Eukaryota; Metazoa; Chordata; Mammalia; Eulipotyphla; Soricidae
Description: Small nucleolar RNA U3 (ENSSARG00000015620.1)
Rfam family: Small nucleolar RNA U3
About the family: Small nucleolar RNAs (snoRNAs) are involved in the processing and modification of rRNA in the nucleolus. There are two main classes of snoRNAs: the box C/D class, and the box H/ACA class.
Source: RNAcentral
AAGACUAUACUUUCAGGCAUUAUUUCUGUAGUUUGUUACUAGAGAAUUUCCUCUGACCGUGUGAGCACCCGAAAUCACAGAAGCCAGAGCAUCCUCCUGAGUGAGAAGCCGCUUCUAGAUGUUGCUUCUGCAGUUGCCUUUUCCCAAUGAUGAUUGUUCUUCUCUUCCUUUGGAAGAGGGAGAGGGAGAGGAUGCAGUCUGACUGG